Molecule: ribosomal RNA, 362 nt
Filed under: uncultured bacterium
Lineage: Bacteria
Description: bacterial SSU rRNA
Rfam family: Bacterial small subunit ribosomal RNA
Source: RNAcentral
GAUUGAACGCUGGCGGCGUGCCUAACACAUGCAAGUCGAGCGGUAACAGGUGUAGCAAUACAUGCUGACGAGCGGCGAACGGGUGAGUAAUGCUUCGGAAUCUACCCAAUGGUGGGAAUAACCAGCCGAAAGGUUGGCUAAUACCGCAUACGUCCCACGGGAGAAAGCAGGGGAUCGCAAGACCUUGCGCCAAUGGAUGAGCCGAAGUCGGAUUAGCUAGUUGGAGGGUAACGGCCUACCAAGGCGACGAUCCGUAGCUGGUCUGAGAGGACGACCAGCCACACUGGGACUGAGACACGGCCCAGACUCCUACGGGAGGCAGCAGUGGGGAAUAUUGGACAAUGGGGGAAACCCUGAUCCGA